UUGAAACACCGGUUCUCGUAAGAUCACCGAAGUUAAGCAACGUGAAGCCUGGUCAUUGUCUAGAUGGGUGACCGUUUAUGAAUACCAGGUGCUGUAAG
Molecule: non-coding RNA, 98 nt
Organism: Acanthosepion pharaonis
Lineage: Eukaryota; Metazoa; Mollusca; Cephalopoda; Sepiida; Sepiidae
Source: the annotation of a GenBank genome assembly